GCGACACUAGCUCAGUUGGUAGAGCGCAACCUUGCCAAGGUUGAAGGUCACGCCUAGUUCCUCGAAGAUCAGGAACCUCGUGUGUCGCUCCA
Molecule: transfer RNA, 92 nt
Filed under: Photobacterium damselae
Lineage: Bacteria; Pseudomonadati; Pseudomonadota; Gammaproteobacteria; Vibrionales; Vibrionaceae
Also listed under: 1 other name
Description: tRNA-Gly(gcc)
Rfam family: tRNA
About the family: Transfer RNA (tRNA) molecules are approximately 80 nucleotides in length. Their secondary structure includes four short double-helical elements and three loops (D, anti-codon, and T loops). Further hydrogen bonds mediate the characteristic L-shaped molecular structure. tRNAs have two regions of fundamental functional importance: the anti-codon, which is responsible for specific mRNA codon recognition, and the 3' end, to which the tRNAs corresponding amino acid is attached (by aminoacyl-tRNA synthetases). tRNAs cope with the degeneracy of the genetic code in two manners: having more than one tRNA (with a specific anti-codon) for a particular amino acid; and 'wobble' base-pairing, i.e. permitting non-standard base-pairing at the 3rd anti-codon position.
Source: RNAcentral